Molecule: transfer RNA, 74 nt
Filed under: Caudoviricetes sp.
Lineage: Duplodnaviria; Heunggongvirae; Uroviricota; Caudoviricetes
Description: tRNA-Gly
Rfam family: tRNA
About the family: Transfer RNA (tRNA) molecules are approximately 80 nucleotides in length. Their secondary structure includes four short double-helical elements and three loops (D, anti-codon, and T loops). Further hydrogen bonds mediate the characteristic L-shaped molecular structure. tRNAs have two regions of fundamental functional importance: the anti-codon, which is responsible for specific mRNA codon recognition, and the 3' end, to which the tRNAs corresponding amino acid is attached (by aminoacyl-tRNA synthetases). tRNAs cope with the degeneracy of the genetic code in two manners: having more than one tRNA (with a specific anti-codon) for a particular amino acid; and 'wobble' base-pairing, i.e. permitting non-standard base-pairing at the 3rd anti-codon position.
Source: RNAcentral
GCGCCAUUGGUGUAAUGGUAACAUGACUGCCUUCCAAGCAGUAGUCGGGAGUUCAAUCCUCCUAUGGCGCUCCA